RNAcentral lists this ribosomal RNA (427 nucleotides) under uncultured bacterium. RNAcentral describes it as "bacterial SSU rRNA". It matches the Rfam family "Bacterial small subunit ribosomal RNA", at positions 355 to 774 of the family's 1533-position model. The record is from RNAcentral.
UAGGGAAUAUUGGACAAUGGGGGCAACCCUGAUCCAGCCAUGCCGCGUGAGUGAAGAAGGCCCUCGGGUUGUAAAGCUCUUUUGUCCGGAAAGAAAAGCAUUCGGUGAAUACCCGGAUGUUCUGACGGUACCGGAAGAAUAAGCACCGGCUAACUACGUGCCAGCAGCCGCGGUAAUACGUAGGGGGCAAACGUUGUCCGGAUUUACUGGGUGUAAAGGGUGCUCAGGCGGAUUUGUAAGUAAGAGGUGAAAUCUUACAGCUUAACUGUGAAACUGCCUUUGAUACUGCAAGCCUAGAGUAUGGAAGAGAGUGAUGGAAUAUCUGGUGUAGCAGUGAAAUGCGUAGAUAUCAGAUAGAACACCAAUGGCGAAGGCAGUCACUUGGUCCAGUACUGACGCUAAAGCACGAAAGCGUGGGUAGCAAACA